This is a non-coding RNA of Bos taurus (domestic cattle), 46 nucleotides long. The record is from Rfam. Lineage: Eukaryota; Metazoa; Chordata; Mammalia; Artiodactyla; Bovidae.
CAAAAGGUCCUUUUAAGGGCCCUAAAAAAAAAAAAAUAAAUAAAAU